AGGACGAACGCUGGCGGCGUGCCUAACACAUGCAAGUCGAGCGGAGUCGGUAAGAGGAAGUUUCGGAUGGAAUCUUAUGAUUAGCGGCGGACGGGUGAGUAACGCGUGAGCGACCAACCUUGCACAGGGGGAUAACGGACCGAAAGGUUCACUAAUACCGCAUGAGACCACGGUGUUGCGUGACACAGAGGUCAAAGGAGCAAUCCGGUGCAAGACGGGCUCGCGUCCGAUUAGGUAGUUGGAGGGGUAACGGCCCACCAAGCCUAUGAUCGGUAGCCGACCUGAGAGGGUGAUCGGCCACAUUGGAACUGAGAUACGGUCCAAACUCCUACGGGAGGCAGCAGUGGGGAAUAUUGGGCCAAUGGGGGAAACCCUGACCCAGCAACGCCGCGUGAAGGAAGAAGGUUUUCGGAUUGUAAACUUCUGUCCUUGGUGAAGAGAAGAAGACGGUAGCCAAGGAGGAAGCCCCGGCUAACUACGUGCCAGCCGCCGC
RNAcentral lists this ribosomal RNA (493 nucleotides) under uncultured bacterium. RNAcentral's name for it is "bacterial SSU rRNA". It matches the Rfam family "Bacterial small subunit ribosomal RNA", at positions 26 to 518 of the family's 1533-position model. The record is from RNAcentral.